AGUGUUGUGAGCCCUUAAAAAGGACAGAAAUUGUGCACUCAAAGAGCUCAGAUUUUAAGGCAACAACUUGCCGAUGCUCCCAGCUGAAUAAAGCCCUUCCUUCUACAACUUGGUGUCUGAGAGGUUUUGUCUGCGGCUGGUCCUGCUACAUUUCUUGGUUCCCUGACCGGGAAGCGAGGUAACUGACAGACGGCCAGGGCCGCCUCUUAGGCGGCUUAGGCCUGCCCUGUGGAGCAUCCCUGCGGGGGACUCUGGCCAACCUGAGUGACGUGAUCCAAAAAGCGCUCCUGGGUAGGCAAUUGUCCCGGUGGAACGCCUCAUCAGAGCAGCGUGUAGCAGGCCCCCACAGAAGAUUAACACAGUGAAUGAACACGGGAAAGGAACUGGCACUUGAAGUCCGGACAUCUGAAACUUGACCGGGAGCUGUACGUGGAUGGCAGCAGCUUUGCCAACCCCUGCAAAGUGACUCUGAAAAAACAAGCCCUGCUCCAGUCACACCCGGAACCUGACUGGUCCACGCACGGCCGACGCAUGAGGAAACUCAUUGUGGGACUCAUUUUCCUUAAAAUUUAGACUUGUACAGUAAAGACUUCAACUGACCUUCCUCAGACUGAAAGCUGUUCCCAGUGUAUACAUCAAGUCACUAAGGUAAGACAAAAGAUUGCUGCAGUUCUAUGAUUUUAUGGUUAUUAUGAGUGUACCAGGACUCUAAAAGAAACUUGUUUGUAUAAUGCUAUUCUAUCCAAGGUAUGUAGCCCAGGAAAUAACCAACCUGAUGCGUGUUAUGACUCAUUUUAAGCCUCCCAUGAUCACAGUUUUUAAAAUAAGAAUAAGGACUAGUCUUUUUCUAAGUGACACAAGUAAAGUAAUAGCUAGAACAGAAAAAAGAGAAGUUCCCAAAAAUGUAACCUUAAAAUUUGAUGCCUGUGCCACUAUUAAUAGUAAACAACAUAAGAUAAGAUGCAGUUCUCUAGAUUAAGAAAAAAGUUACACAGCAGAAAAUAAGCAUAUCUGUCAAGAAUCAUAUUUAUGUGAAAUGUGUCAAUACUGGUUUUGUGUCAUUUAGGCGACUUAAAAAUAAAAUAAAAUAAAAUAAAAAGAUCCUGUUUAGCUCCUAAAAAGAAAAGUCAGCCCCUCCUGCACGAGUAGGAGCUGCAACCCUUUAAAAUUAGUAAUCACAAACCCCUCAGACCCAAAACCGAAUAAAAAAAAA
This 1213-nucleotide long non-coding RNA is filed under the name Macaca fascicularis (crab-eating macaque). RNAcentral describes it as "lncRNA (ENSMFAG00000050993.1)". The record is from RNAcentral. Lineage: Eukaryota; Metazoa; Chordata; Mammalia; Primates; Cercopithecidae.